Molecule: ribosomal RNA, 253 nt
Filed under: uncultured bacterium
Lineage: Bacteria
Description: partial 16S ribosomal RNA
Rfam family: Bacterial small subunit ribosomal RNA
Source: RNAcentral
UACAGAGGGUGCAAGCGUUAAUCGGAAUUACUGGGCGUAAAGCGUGCGUAGACGGUUGCAUAAGUCAGAUGUGAAAGCCCCGGGCUCAACCUGGGAAUUGCAUUUGAGACUGCGUAGCUAGGGUGCGGAAGAGGGAAGCGGAAUUUCCGGUGUAGCGGUGAAAUGCGUAGAUAUCGGAAGGAACACCAGUGGCGAAAGCGGCUUCCUGGUCCAGCACCGACGUUCAGGCACGAAAGCGUGGGGAGCAAACAGG